Molecule: transfer RNA, 70 nt
Filed under: Erinaceus europaeus (western European hedgehog)
Lineage: Eukaryota; Metazoa; Chordata; Mammalia; Eulipotyphla; Erinaceidae
Rfam family: tRNA
About the family: Transfer RNA (tRNA) molecules are approximately 80 nucleotides in length. Their secondary structure includes four short double-helical elements and three loops (D, anti-codon, and T loops).
Source: Rfam by way of RNAcentral
GGGAGGGUGGCUCAGAGGCAGAGCGCACACAUUGGAUGUGUGAGGCCCUGGGUUCGACCCUGCCAUUCCA